This is an RNA transcript of Brassica napus (rape), 1452 nucleotides long. It is a transcript of the gene named putative peptidyl-tRNA hydrolase PTRHD1, with no coding region annotated. NCBI's taxonomy places the organism in Eukaryota, Viridiplantae, Streptophyta, Magnoliopsida, Brassicales, Brassicaceae. The record is from RefSeq and is a predicted model, not a curated record. The transcript has 2 exons.
CAGCUAGUAGUCGUGUUCCGGAUUUUAACGAUUUUUUUGUGGAUUUUACCGAAUUUUUAAAUGAUGGAAUUUUACUAAAAUUUAAACUAGAUUACAUUGAUCCGGAUUUACCGGUUCGAUCCCGGAUCUGAGUCGGGUUUCAAAACACUCUAAAAGACACUAAAACAAAGCGUAAAAACAACAGUUAAACAGAUCGUAAUGAAUUAGCAAACUAAAUUUGAGUUUAAUUGCAAUGAUCAGGUUAACGAUGGUAGGGGGUCAACGUUAGUUUGAAGCCGAACAUUUGGUCAAUAAAAGAUUUAAGAAUCGCGUAAAAAUGGGCUCGAAAUUGGUGUCACAAGAAGCCCAUUAGUAAAGUGUUAUCCAAGAAAGAGUAAAGCCCAUGCGCGUCCUCCUUUCAUAUGGCGAGCGCCGUCGUCUCGGCUGCGUUUCGAAUCCCGUUCCCCACCAGCCGACUCUUCAAUCCUGCGCCGUGGAUUAGCUCGCAUCGUUCAACGAUCCGGUUUGGCCAUCCCCGUCGGAUCACAACAGAUUCGUCCAUGAGCCAACAGAGCGGCGAAAUGGGUGCCGUCGUCGAUGCCUCCAGUAACGACGAGAACUCGUCAGAGAAACCUGACGAUGUCGUGGUACAGUACGUGGUGCUUCGUCGUGAUCUGAUCGAUUCGUGGCCACUCGGGAGCGUGGUGACGCAGGGAUGCCACGCGUCUGUGGCGGCGAUUUGAUUGUGAACCGCAGCACAUUGAUUCUAUGCACAAGGUGACUUUGGAGGUUAAAGGGGAAACUCAGAUGAUGAAUUUGUUAUAGCAACAAAGCCUUAUCCCAAAUCUCAAGUCUCUACUUUCUUCAAGAAGCUCAAGCUUUGCAAGUGAUCAUUCUCGUUUUUUUCAUUUCUAUAAGCUGAUUUAUUCAUCAUGAUUCACACAAAUGGAUACAAAUCACAAAGAGAAAUUUUAAUUUACAAACGUUUAAAAAGACAACAACACGUAACUACGUAAGGUAAGUCAGCAAUUUGGAUAUAUUAUUACAUAGAAAGUUACAAAAGAGAGAGAGAGAGAGAUCUCGGUGAGAGUUUUUAUUUAAUUCAGGAAUGGGCGAUGAGGCGUUUACCGCAGGUGGAGCAAAUAAGGCGACGUUUGGAUUUGUUAUAGAGAGGGACGAAGCAGAAUCUCCACUGGCUUUCUACGUCUACCGUUUGAACCAUCCCGCCGCAGUAGGGGCAGGCUCCAGGAGCUGCGUACCUGCCGAUCACCCUCUCGUCCUGAUCGCACACGAACACCAAACACAUGUUUCCUCUUCUUCCUCUUGCUCUUUCUUAUUUUUGUCAAAGUAAAUCAAAUGGAAUAUCUUUUUGCUUUAGAAAGGUUGAUUGUUGAUGUAUUUAUAGAGGAUGACUUCCAUGGAAAUAGAUUUUUGUUUCCGCGUGAGAAAAGUGAAUUUAGGAUAUCCAGAAAA